CAUACAAUGGUCGGAACAGAGAGGUUGCCAACCCGCGAGGGGGAGCUAAUCCCAGAAAACCGAUCGUAGUCCGGAUUGCACUCUGCAACUCGAGUGCAUGAAGCUGGAAUCGCUAGUAAUCGCGGAUCAGCAUGCCGCGGUGAAUACGUUCCCGGGUCUUGUACACACCGCCCGUCACACCAUGGGAGUGGGUUUUACCAGAAGUGGCUAGUCUAACCGCAAGGAGGACGGUCACCACGGUAGGAUUCAUGACUGGGGUGAAGUCGUAACAAGGUAGCCGUAUCGGAAGGUGCGGUUGGAUCACCUC
RNAcentral lists this ribosomal RNA (307 nucleotides) under Burkholderia cepacia. RNAcentral describes it as "partial 16S ribosomal RNA". It matches the Rfam family "Bacterial small subunit ribosomal RNA", at positions 1224 to 1529 of the family's 1533-position model. The record is from RNAcentral. Lineage: Bacteria; Pseudomonadati; Pseudomonadota; Betaproteobacteria; Burkholderiales; Burkholderiaceae.